This is a long non-coding RNA of Triticum aestivum (bread wheat), 506 nucleotides long. RefSeq lists it as uncharacterized. The transcript has 2 exons. Lineage: Eukaryota; Viridiplantae; Streptophyta; Magnoliopsida; Poales; Poaceae. The record is from RefSeq and is a predicted model, not a curated record.
UUUUACUUUGUCGAUUCGCUCCGUCAAUCCCUCGCAUCUCGUCCAACCCAUCUCGCGAGAGGGAGGCGCUGCCGCGAGGACCUGGGAGACGGCGCCGCCGCCGCCGCCGCCGCGAGUUCCUGGAGGCGAACCCUCUGGGCUUGGUCGUAGUGGCCUCUCCCCCACGGCCCUGCGGACGCCGCCAUGAGGUCCUGAGGCGACAGCGCUGGCGCGAGGUGCUGGAGGCGAUGGCGCUGGCGCGAGGUGCUGGAGGAGAUCCCCCGGCUGCACUUGGUCGUAGUGGCCGCUCAACGGAGCAAGGUGACGACGGUGUUCUCUGAAUUUUAAUCUCUCUCCCGUGUUUUCCGACAACAAUGAUCAGUAGUAGCAGUAGUCCUUUGCACAAUUUUACUUCUCUGUGUGCAGUUUAAAAGCUAGGAAAAAAUUGGGGCCAUGAAUACCCGCAUUGUUCUCAUAUAUCAUCUCCAUGGAUGAAAAAGGGUGUAUAGUGCCAUCAUUGUUCAUCC